Molecule: non-coding RNA, 30 nt
Filed under: Rattus norvegicus (Norway rat)
Lineage: Eukaryota; Metazoa; Chordata; Mammalia; Rodentia; Muridae
Source: RNAcentral
UGAAGCAGAAUGUUCAAUUUGUUUGGUGGU